UACAACCGUUUCCACUUUAAGGAAGGAGGAAGCCACUGUUAUUCCUCCCCUCUCUCAUUCUCCCUUCUUAAGUAUCUUCUCCUAUUCCACACCCCCCCUCCCCCAAUUUUCAAAGACAUAAGGUUUCCCUUAUUUGUCUUUAUUUUGUAAUGAUAUUCCUCCACUCAUCAAAGGCAGAUACAUCUCGAAGCUAGAUCUCCACAUGCAUUUCGGUAUCGGAUCUCUAUCACAGUCAUUUUUGCAGUUUCUUUU
Molecule: long non-coding RNA, 252 nt
Filed under: Prunus persica (peach)
Lineage: Eukaryota; Viridiplantae; Streptophyta; Magnoliopsida; Rosales; Rosaceae
Description: long non-coding RNA (PPER_LNC006738)
Source: RNAcentral